CACGUAGGGCGCAAGCGUUGUCCGGAAUUAUUGGGCGUAAAGAGCUCGUAGGCGGUUUGUCGCGUCUGCUGUGAAAACUCGGGGCUUAACCCCGGGCCUGCAGUGGGUACGGGCAGACUAGAGUGCGGUAGGGGAGACUGGAAUUCCUGGUGUAGCGGUGAAAUGCGCAGAUAUCAGGAGGAACACCGAUGGCGAAGGCAGGUCUCUGGGCAUUAACUGACGCUGAGGAGCGAAAGCAUGGGGAGCGAACAGG
RNAcentral lists this ribosomal RNA (253 nucleotides) under uncultured bacterium. RNAcentral's name for it is "partial 16S ribosomal RNA". It matches the Rfam family "Bacterial small subunit ribosomal RNA", at positions 524 to 776 of the family's 1533-position model. The record is from RNAcentral.